AUGUGGCAUGGCCAGGUGCAGAGGUGUGUGCUGAGAGCAGUGCUGGAACGCGGGCGGUGCAUUUCAGUGGAUCGCAAGAGAAAGGGUCUCAGAGAGGGGAGGGGAGGAACUCAUUUUCCCAAGAGUUUGCUCUGCUGCAAUCAUUCCUCAAGCCUGGCCAGUCACAGAAAACCCAGUGCCCUUCCUGACUGCGCUGCGCUGGCUUCAGCUUUCCUCCCAAGGCUGCAGAAGAGGUCUCGUUCAAGGGCUCACGAUGGGUGCCUGUCCCCACUGACCAAAGUGGCUGCCCUGCUCUCUGCGCCCUGGGACUCCGUCUUUAACAAACUGCAGCAAACAAGUCUGAAGGCUUGGGCACGUGGCACCCCGGCCGCCGUGACCCCGCCAGGCCAGAGGAGUCUGCAGAGGGCUCCCAGUUCCGUCGUGGGCGUCCCACCAGCUGCUCUCGUCGAGGGUAAGCACCACAGGACCGCGGCGGCAGUUAAGUGUGAAAGCCAUGCAUCGAUGUGA
RNAcentral lists this long non-coding RNA (507 nucleotides) under Oryctolagus cuniculus (rabbit). RNAcentral describes it as "lncRNA (ENSOCUG00000034080.1)". The record is from RNAcentral. Lineage: Eukaryota; Metazoa; Chordata; Mammalia; Lagomorpha; Leporidae.